UAAUUUUGAUGCCUAUAGAAUCUUUUCAUUUAAAAAAUUAUCAACUUGAAUAAUUUUAAUAAAAAAAGAAAAAGCAGCCAUUGAUUGUGAAAUUUUAAAAAAUUCUAAAUUAAAAUAAACUACACUUCACCCCCUACUCCCUUCCCACGCAUCAACCCAAUUUCUUGUUUCACAAACCACCCAAAAUCUAAUUCAAAGGGGAAAGAAACAUGUAAGUUUGAACUGGCAACCUCGCAAACACUCUGCCAUACAAUAUUCUCCCGGAUUUUUACCAAAGAACUAGGAUUUAAGACUGAUACUCUAUAAAUUACAAUCCCAAACUGACCAAAAUAGAAACCAAAGCCAUCCACCGUUUCCAAAAUAAUUGAUACCGUUAACAUAUACCAACAAAUCCCCGAAACCUGUGGGAAAAAUAACAUCCACUAAGCACUCAAAAUAACAUCCCCAAAAGCUGCAUCAAGAAGGACUAAGAUCCUUUCAUGUCUAUGCUGAUAAUGCAAUUUCAUCUUCCUUUUUGGCAUCUGCUUUUGCUUUCUCACCUUCAGCCUCAUUGUGCUGCUCCUUUGCCUCAACAGGCCCCUCCUCCUUUUCUUUCUCAUCUGUUUUACCAUCCACGACACUCAACUUCUCAAGUAGUCCAGCAGCAUCUGCAGCCUCUUUACUUUCUUCUUUUUUUCCCUGAGUUUCAGCCACCUCUUGCACCGUCUCCAUGAAGGUUUUGCAAUUCUCAACAGAAGGAAAUCUGACACAGAAGAGCUCGUCCUUCAAUUCUCCAUCAGCAAAAUCAGCGGCAUGCCAGACGCAUGAUUUAUCAUUCCCGUGAUGCUCUUGGACAUUGAUUGAUGGCACAACUAGAUGAUUGGCGCAGAUCUUGAGAGUCUUAGAUUGGCGCAUGACAAGGCGAACCUUGCCAGAUUCCUUAUGCUUCAAAAGCUUCACAUUACCAACUCCUCUCUCCUUCCACUGGUUCCCUUCCUUAUCAAAUCUAUACAGCUUCGCUUUCAGAUCGAGGAUAGGAUCCUCAUCUUCCUCGCCAGUAGUGAGGGCCACCUCUUCGAGCUUGACGAUGGGGGCAACCUGAGCUCCGGUGUCCUCAUCAUCGGCGGCAGGUGCGUUCUCGUCCUCUUCUCUAUCUUUAGUGUUGUGCUCUGGAUCGGCAGCAGAAGCAGUACUUGCCAUUCCUCGC
Molecule: unclassified non-coding RNA, 1186 nt
Filed under: Hevea brasiliensis (rubber tree)
Lineage: Eukaryota; Viridiplantae; Streptophyta; Magnoliopsida; Malpighiales; Euphorbiaceae
Source: RNAcentral